RNAcentral lists this unclassified non-coding RNA (573 nucleotides) under Hevea brasiliensis (rubber tree). The record is from RNAcentral. Lineage: Eukaryota; Viridiplantae; Streptophyta; Magnoliopsida; Malpighiales; Euphorbiaceae.
AGCAUCAAAAUUCCGAAAGAAAAAGCCUUGAGAAGCGGCAUAACCAUGGACUAUCACAAGAGUGGGCGAGUCCUCUUUGCUAUUGAAGGUAACAGUGUUAAUGAACCGUGGCUCAUUGCUUGUAGAACGAAGCCGCCUCUUUUUGGACCCUGGAGGGCCUGAACCAAUAUUAACUUGUUCUCGAACAUAUGGAGUCCUUAAAUUCCCGCGAUUCAAUCAUCAACAUUCAAAUCACAAAAUCGAUGCAAUCAAACAAAUUCAUCUUCGGCUUUGAUUAUAUAUUUGAUUUCAGUCAAGGUUUCAUAUAUUAAAAUUAGCGCAGAAAAAAGCACAGGAAAUUACUUGACGAGAGAGAGAAGGCGUUUCUCGGCCUCGAUGAUGUGGUCGGUGGUAGUGUGGAUCCAACGGAGAACAGGGGGCCACGGUGAUCUUGUUUUGGCCGGUGAUGAUGAUGAUGUUGAUGUAGAUGUUGCGGUGGCAGCAGCAGCAGAUGAUGAUCCUAGCUCUUCCGCCAUUUUCAUAUUGAGCUAGUCAGCUAGAUACCCGUUGGCGAAGUAAAUUCAUAUAUCCGAU